This 869-nucleotide ribosomal RNA is filed under the name Helotiales sp. RNAcentral describes it as "partial large subunit ribosomal RNA". It matches the Rfam family "Eukaryotic large subunit ribosomal RNA", at positions 69 to 959 of the family's 3401-position model. Lineage: Eukaryota; Fungi; Ascomycota; Leotiomycetes; Helotiales. The record is from RNAcentral.
CAGGGAUUGCCUCAGUAACGGCGAGUGAAGCGGCAACAGCUCAAAUUUGAAAUCUGGCUCUUUUAGGGUCCGAGUUGUAAUUUGUAGAAGAUGCUUCGGGUGUGGCCCUGGUCUAAGUUCCUUGGAACAGGACGUCAUAGAGGGUGAGAAUCCCGUAUGUGACUGGGUGCCUAUACUCAUGUGAAGCUCUUUCGACGAGUCGAGUUGUUUGGGAAUGCAGCUCAAAAUGGGUGGUAUAUUUCAUCUAAAGCUAAAUAUUGGCCAGAGACCGAUAGCGCACAAGUAGAGUGAUCGAAAGAUGAAAAGCACUUUGGAAAGAGAGUUAAACAGUACGUGAAAUUGUUGAAAGGGAAGCGCUUGCAACCAGACUUGCACGCUGUCGAUCAUCCGAGAUUUUUCCCGGUGCACUCGAUUGCGUUCAGGCCAGCAUCGGUUUCGGUGGUUGGAUAAAGGCCUUAGGAAUGUAGCUUCUCUCGGGGAGUGUUAUAGCCUUCGGUGCAAUGCAGCCUACCGGGACCGAGGACCGCGCUUCGGCUAGGAUGCUGGCGUAAUGGUUGUAAGCGACCCGUCUUGAAACACGGACCAAGGAGUCUAACAUCUAUGCGAGUGUUUGGGUGUCAAACCCAUACGCGUAAUGAAAGUGAACGGAGGUGAGAACCCUUAAGGGUGCAUCAUCGACCGAUCCUGAUGUCUUCGGAUGGAUUUGAGUAAGAGCAUAGCUGUUGGGACCCGAAAGAUGGUGAACUAUGCCUGAAUAGGGUGAAGCCAGAGGAAACUCUGGUGGAGGCUCGCAGCGGUUCUGACGUGCAAAUCGAUCGUCAAUUUGGGGUAUAGGGCGAAGACUAUCGAACAUCUAGUAGCUGGUCUGC